GUGUGGUCCUGAGCAUAGAGGUAGGAGUAAUCUCAUCAGUCAGUCUUGUCCUUCAGAGAUGAACUGACCUUAAAAAGAGUGGGGACUAUAAAAAGAAAUUAGAAAAGCCUGGAUCACAAAUUAGUAAUUAGUCAUUAAUAUAAUAGUAUAAUAAUUAUUCUCUUAACCCCAGUAUUUCUGUGCAUACUUUUUGUAUGUACUUGAGUGCAUGUUGGUUCAUCCCUCCCCCAGUAGAAAGUAGCUUUGGGUAGAAUAUAACCUCUUUGAGGACUGGACUCUUUUGUAUUUGUCUUUAUACGUGCAGCAUCUAUCAGUAAGCCUGGUACAUAGUAGUUGCUUAAUCAAUACUUGUUGACUGAAUUAAAUAAAUCCCUAUAAGGAUAGUGUGAAAAUAGUUUAUUCCUAUAUUUGAUUCCUGGGAUCCUUGUUGGUUAUGGCAGCAUCUGGUUUUUGUUUUUUGGACUAGACCAGCGACUUCAUCAGUUUGAGGAGUCCCCAGAGAAGAAUUUGUUCCACCAAUGCAGAUCAACUCCCAUCCGGUGAUAUAAAGUCUUAGAGAAUUGCCUCAGGGCACUGAGAGGUUAAAUAGACGCCUCUAGUCACACAACCACCGCGUGUUGGAAGAUUGGUUCAAUUCAGGUCUUCCUGAUUCCAAAGCCAACUCUAUUCAUUUCAUAUUCACUGCCUCUCAUAGAACAGUUAAAAUUGUUAUAUAUAAAAAAAAGCUUGAGUUUUAGGUCUCUGAAUUGUGUAUGCAAGCUAUUAGUAGCAGGAAAAAUUCAUUUAAGAAAUGGUUUUUAUGAUUUGAUCCUUUGAGUCAUCUGCCAAGGCAACCCUGAAAUCCCAGUGCUAAGUGUUUAUAUUUUCUUUAACUCUUGGCUGAUUAUGUUCUGCUUUUGUUUUACUUAUGAGGUGUAUUGUUCACGACUGAGCUCCCUGAAGCAACAUGACCAUGGUGCUGUUACUUCCAGAGUAGCAGCAGUGAUGUGGCAAACAAUCUUGCCCAAAAGGUGACUUACUUGUGCAACUUGUUUUGGAAAGUCGUAACAGGAACUCCGAUUCUGAAGGAUACUGCCUGUUGUGCAGAGGACGGAAUGUUCUCUUCCGUGAACUGCAAUUGAACUUUUCCAGCCUACUUUGUUUGAGGAACCAUACAGAUACACAGGGAAAAGAGCAGAUCCCCUCCCAUCUCUCCCCACCCCAACCCUGCCACCCCAAUCUUUGUCUCUUUUGCAUUGGCUCCGGAGAAUUGCUUUGCUGGGG
RNAcentral lists this long non-coding RNA (1263 nucleotides) under Vombatus ursinus (common wombat). Its description in RNAcentral is "lncRNA (ENSVURG00010007186.1)". Lineage: Eukaryota; Metazoa; Chordata; Mammalia; Diprotodontia; Vombatidae. The record is from RNAcentral.